CUUUUAUUUUUAUUUUUAUUUUUUUCUCUAUUUCACUUCUUUUUUUAGGGUGCAUAUAUUUAUAUCUCAAUAGUAUAAUGAUCGAAUUUAGAUAAGAGUUUACUUCUAAACUAUGUGCAUCUGAAAUCUAAUUAAAGAAUGGGUCCACAACCAUUUCAAUAUGCCAAAGCAACAGUAUUGGGACACAUAUCAGUGUGGUUUGGCUUAUUUGUCCCUAGAGAAGUAUCAGCGUUAAAAGAAUAUGAGGACAAAAUAGAGAAUUCAUGUAAGGACAGAAAUGGAAAACAAUCUUAUCGUCACUGUUAUAGUGACGAGUUUAGCUUUAGUUUCCAUUUUAUUCCUGUACUUGGCUAGCACAAAUGCAUAUAGAAAAGCAGCAGUACACACAACUAUCAUGACUGAUGACACAACCCAUGGCCAGCAUGUCAUCUGGGAUUUCAAGUGGAUAAGAAUUUGUGGAAAAAGAUUUCAAACUUUCCCAUUUGCUUGCUUGGGAGGGCCACCAAAACAUUCACACCAUUAUUGUCAACAGUAUCUGGAAACAGUAAGAUAAUGUCUUUCCUGUGAUACACCAGUGGGCAACUGUACCUUGGACAACCCCAUGGAUACUCCACUUCUUCAAACCCUAACCUCCACCAUGAUGAUACCAAAAACUCCCCAUGUGGGAAUCCUCUGUUUAUCUCUCCCCAGUCUAUAACAGAUCUUGCAUACUCAUCAUUCAUUCUCUUUGCCCCUUCUCCUACCAUCUCCACCAAUCUUGAAAAUGGUCCUUCUUCAAGUUCCUUGCACUUUGCACAUGCAUAUGCUGUUAACACUGCAUUUCCAGUGUAUGAAGCUGGUAAAGGAGGUGCCAAUCUUGGUCUAAUAUUCACUGCAUAAAGAAUUGUCGACACCCUUUCGAGAUCUUGCCCUACUUCUCCUUCUUCUUCAUAUGACAACGCCUUGCACCUCCAAAUGUGAGCGGUCACCACGUUGAAGCUUGAGAUGCGGACACCGUCAGUGGCAUUAUGGGUCUUGGCCUUCUCUUUCAACUUACAGAUGUCAGUGGAAGUUAGCCUGAAAAUCUUGAAGUCUAGUGAUUCUUUGGAGAGGUCGAACACUGAAGCAUUCGAUUCUUGGGCCAAGGGAGUGUUGAGCUUGAGCAGCUCUGCAUGAGGGAAGCUGACGCGUGGUGGGGAGCGAGCGGCGAGGAGCUGACGGUCCUUGAAUGGCACAACGGCUAAAUGCUUGCCAGCAGCUACGGCGGCCAAGUUGUCUAAGAAGGUUUUGAAGCUUAUUCCAUCAAAAGUGACAUGGUUUGUUGAUAUGCCGAUUGCGAAGCCACCACACCUAAAUGAAGUCACCUGUAAAUUAUAAAAUAAAUAACUUAAUAUUAUUGUUUUUAAGAGAGUAAUUUAAUUAAUUUCUAUAAAUGAAAAUUAGUAUAAUCAGACCAAUUAAUGAAUUAUUCAUUUUAUCAAUUUUUUUAGCAAAGAAAUUUUGUUAAAUAAAUUUUUUUUCUUAAUUAUUAAAUAUAUAAAUUCACCUAUUUAUAUAUUUUUCUAAAUUCAAAUCAACUUAAAUAACCCAAACUUAAGACUAAGUUAAAAAGCUAGAGGAUACAAAACGAAACCAAGAACAAAACAAAACAGAGAAAGAGCUCAAGACUGAUCCAUAAAAAAUGAAAUAAAUAUAAUUUUAAAAAAAAAAUGAAAUAUAAUGAAAAUUAGUGAUUAAUUAGGCUUUUAAUUACCUGAAAAAUACAUAGUGGUUGAUCUUCUUUGUUCAGAAUAUCCAUGGCCUUGAGAAUGAGUUGCCCAAACGCAGGAUUUGGAUAAACCAACUCUCCGACCUCGUCUAAGCUGCACUCACUAGAUGCCACCACAAAACCAGCUCCAGCGGCGUUACAAUCAAUCUCUAAACGACCCGUUUCAGGGUUCAUCGUCAAUCUUCCGGCAAAAAAAUCAUAUGUCACAAGUAAUUUUUCAAGGGCAAUUUUGAGUUUAUCGGCCACAACAUGAGGAGGAAAAUCUUUAUGGGAUGGAAAAAAAUGAAGUGUCUGCACGUGGAAGUUGAGCACUUGGUCUAUAUUUGAUAAGAAGAUGGAUUUUCUCACAGUUUCUUGGGAUGGAAAAACCGGAAAUGUGUCGAGGAUAGUGAUCUUGAGGUCUUGGAGAAGAGGAGGGGCCUGCUUUUGGUAAAGGGUUCCCAUGUUGAUUAUCUUGAUUAGGUGUGUGCAAGUCUUGUCAUGUUUGCACACACUUAUAGAUGUGGAGAGAGGAGUAAAUAUCUUCACGACAUUGAUGAAACUAUAAAUGCUAAUGAAGGAGUGUUAAACAUAGGAAAAUUUUAGGUAUAAUUUGCACAACUUGUGGCUAUAAGAGAUUAUCAGAGACGAAGAACAUAAAGAAAGGUACGUAUGAUCUUAUCAAGUGGUUGACAAAAGAUUCAGCGGCUACACAUUCUAGGCGAAAAUCUUCAUCCAUCAACAUAAAAAAGAUGCAUGUAUAGCGUAUAGGAAAUGCAUCUCUGAUUGAACUCCAAACAACUGGCAAUGUCAGGGUAA
RNAcentral lists this unclassified non-coding RNA (2545 nucleotides) under Hevea brasiliensis (rubber tree). The record is from RNAcentral. Lineage: Eukaryota; Viridiplantae; Streptophyta; Magnoliopsida; Malpighiales; Euphorbiaceae.